RNAcentral lists this ribosomal RNA (424 nucleotides) under uncultured bacterium. RNAcentral's name for it is "bacterial SSU rRNA". It matches the Rfam family "Bacterial small subunit ribosomal RNA", at positions 359 to 775 of the family's 1533-position model. The record is from RNAcentral.
GAAUAUUGGACAAUGGGCGAAAGCCUGAUCCAGCCAUGCCGCGUGUGUGAAGAAGGUCUUCGGAUUGUAAAGCACUUUAAGUUGGGAGGAAGGGCUGUUACCUAAUACGUGACAGUUUUGACGUUACCAACAGAAUAAGCACCGGCUAACUUCGUGCCAGCAGCCGCGGUAAUACGAAGGGUGCAAGCGUUAAUCGGAAUUACUGGGCGUAAAGCGCGCGUAGGUGGUUCGUUAAGUUGGAUGUGAAAUCCCCGGGCUCAACCUGGGAACUGCAUCCAAAACUGGCGAGCUAGAGUAGGGCAGAGGGUGGUGGAAUUUCCUGUGUAGCGGUGAAAUGCGUAGAUAUAGGAAGGAACACCAGUGGCGAAGGCGACCACCUGGGCUCAUACUGACACUGAGGUGCGAAAGCGUGGGGAGCAAACAG